This 232-nucleotide ribosomal RNA is filed under the name uncultured Enterobacterales bacterium. RNAcentral describes it as "partial 16S ribosomal RNA". It matches the Rfam family "Bacterial small subunit ribosomal RNA", at positions 100 to 334 of the family's 1533-position model. The record is from RNAcentral. Lineage: Bacteria; Pseudomonadati; Pseudomonadota; Gammaproteobacteria; Enterobacterales.
GGGACGGGUGAGUAAUGUCUGGGAAACUGCCUGAUGGAGGGGGAUAACUACUGGAAACGGUAGCUAAUACCGCAUAAUGUCGCAAGACCAAAGAGGGGGACCUUCGGGCCUCUUGCCAUCAGAUGUGCCCAGAUGGGAUUAGCUAGUAGGUGGGGUAACGGCUCACCUAGGCGACGAUCCCUAGCUGGUCUGAGAGGAUGACCAGCCACACUGGAACUGAGACACGGUCCAG